Panicum hallii is the source of this 307-nucleotide long non-coding RNA. RefSeq lists it as uncharacterized. The record is from RefSeq and is a predicted model, not a curated record. NCBI's taxonomy places the organism in Eukaryota, Viridiplantae, Streptophyta, Magnoliopsida, Poales, Poaceae. The transcript has 3 exons.
GAACGUCCGGUAUGAGCGCGUGGGCGACGAGCGGCGCCUAUUCGACGGAAUACCCGCGUCCUGGAGCGCGCUCGACGGGGCGUACCUCUUGUUCGGGAGCUUGGCCACUGCCGGGGUGGCAUUGUCGCCGAGGGCCAUAAGGCGCAGGUGAACAUUACCGUGAUGCAUGGAGGUAGCAGGUGCAGAGGCGCCUCAGCGUCGAGGGAAAGUUCCUCGGUAUACUUUUCUGUUGCCUUUUAGGAAUUGCCUGUUUGAAUAAAUUCAGAGUUCAGCAUAGCAUAGUGGCAGUGAAAAAGAUGGAGCGUGG